AACGAACGCUGGCGGCAUGCCUAACACAUGCAAGUCGAACGCGUGUAGCAAUACACGAGUGGCGGACGGGUGAGUAACGCGUGGGAACCUGCCCAGUGGUAGGGAAUAACUGCGGGAAACUGCAGCUAAUACCCUAUACGCCCUUUGGGGGAAAGAUUCAUCGCCAUUGGAGGGGCCCGCGUCGGAUUAGCUAGUUGGCGGGGUAACGGCCCACCAAGGCAACGAUCCGUAGCUGGCUGAGAGGAUGAUCAGCCACACUGGGACUGAGAUACGGCCCAGACUCCUACGGGAGGCAGCAGGUGGGGAAUAUUGGACAAGUAGGGGGAAACCCUGAUCCAGCAAUGCCGCGUGAGUGAAGAAGGCC
This 364-nucleotide ribosomal RNA is filed under the name uncultured bacterium. Its description in RNAcentral is "bacterial SSU rRNA". It matches the Rfam family "Bacterial small subunit ribosomal RNA", at positions 29 to 416 of the family's 1533-position model. The record is from RNAcentral.